RNAcentral lists this ribosomal RNA (263 nucleotides) under uncultured bacterium. RNAcentral describes it as "partial 16S ribosomal RNA". It matches the Rfam family "Bacterial small subunit ribosomal RNA", at positions 57 to 305 of the family's 1533-position model. The record is from RNAcentral.
GCAAGUCGUACGAGAAAGCUUCUUCGGAAGUGAUUAGAGUGGCGCACGGGUGAGUAACACGUAGGUGAUCUACCAUUUGGCGGGGGAUAACCAGAAGAAAUUCUGGCUAAUACCGCAUACGUACUGCAAUUUUGAAAGUAGCAGUAGAAAGAGUGCCUCUCCUUGGAAGCACUUACCAAAUGAUGAGCCUGCGUAGCAUUAGUUAGAUGGUGGGGUAAUGGCUUACCAUGACUACGAUGCUUAGCUGGUCUGAGAGGAUGAUC